AUACAGAGGGUGCAAGCGUUAAUCGGAAUUACUGGGCGUAAAGCGCGCGUAGGUGGUUGUGUAAGUCGGAUGUGAAAGCCCCGGGCUUAACCUGGGAAUUGCAUUCGAAACUGCACGACUCGAGUCUGAUAGAGGGAAGUGGAAUUUCCGGUGUAGCGGUGAAAUGCGUAGAUAUCUGGAGGAACAUCAGUGGCGAAGGCGACUUCCUGGCUUAAAACUGACGCUGAGGUGCGAAAGCGUGGGUAGCGAACGGGAUUAGAAACCCCAGUAGUCC
Molecule: ribosomal RNA, 274 nt
Filed under: uncultured bacterium
Lineage: Bacteria
Description: partial 16S ribosomal RNA
Rfam family: Bacterial small subunit ribosomal RNA
Source: RNAcentral